This is a long non-coding RNA of Bolinopsis microptera, 219 nucleotides long. RefSeq lists it as uncharacterized. The transcript is spliced from 3 exons. Lineage: Eukaryota; Metazoa; Ctenophora; Tentaculata; Lobata; Bolinopsidae. The record is from RefSeq and is a predicted model, not a curated record.
AUGUUGAAGUACCUUAAUAUUUUUUUUGCUAACCGAAGUGAAGGAUAAGCUGGACUUUCUCCACAUAAAGACGUUCACACCUACGAACAUUGACAAGUUGGUAAAAAGCCUGCAGUGCGAUCUAGAUUUGCACAUUGAUGAGAAAAAAGACAAGACUUCGGCAAAUAGGAAGUUGCUAAUAUCUACAAUCUGUGAGCUGAUCACCGCCCUCAAAAAGAU